This 72-nucleotide transfer RNA is filed under the name Acropyga goeldii. RNAcentral's name for it is "tRNA-Gln". The record is from RNAcentral. Lineage: Eukaryota; Metazoa; Arthropoda; Insecta; Hymenoptera; Formicidae.
UAUAUAUAAAUGUAUAAAGAUGCAUAAAAAUUUUUGAAAUUUUUUGAUAUAGUUUAAAUCUAUAAUAUAUAA